UGGGGAAUUUUGCACAAUGGGCGAAAGCCUGAUGCAGCAACGCCGCGUGAGUGAUGAAGGCCUUCGGGUUGUAAAGCUCUGUCUUUUGGGACGAUAAUGACGGUACCAAAGGAGGAAGCCACGGCUAACUACGUGCCAGCAGCCGCGGUAAUACGUAGGUGGCAAGCGUUGUCCGGAUUUACUGGGCGUAAAGGAUGCGUAGGCGGAUUUUUAAGUGAGAUGUGAAAACCCUAAGCUUAACUUGGGGACUGCAUUUCAUACUGGAAAUCUAGAGUGCGGGAGAGGAGAAUGGAAUUCCUAGUGUAGCGGUGAAAUGCGUAGAGAUUAGGAAGAACACCAGUGGCGAAGGCGAUUCUCUGGACCGUAACUGACGCUGAGGCAUGAAAGCGUGGGUAGCAAACAGGAUUAGAUACCCUGGUAGUCCACGCCGUAAACGAUGAGUACUAGGUGUAGGAGGUAUCGACCCCUUCUGUGCCGCAGUUAACACAAUAAGUACUCCGCCUGGGAAGUACGAUCGCAAGAUUAAAAACUCAAAGGAAUUGACGGGGUCAUAGCUG
RNAcentral lists this ribosomal RNA (557 nucleotides) under uncultured bacterium. RNAcentral describes it as "partial 16S ribosomal RNA". It matches the Rfam family "Bacterial small subunit ribosomal RNA", at positions 355 to 932 of the family's 1533-position model. The record is from RNAcentral.